GUGUGUAUGGUGUAAACAACACGCUAGCUUUUCAUGCUAAAAAUAUACUAGGUAUUACACAC
Molecule: transfer RNA, 62 nt
Filed under: Duplodicodrilus acinctus
Lineage: Eukaryota; Metazoa; Annelida; Clitellata; Crassiclitellata; Megascolecidae
Description: tRNA-Glu
Source: RNAcentral